Molecule: long non-coding RNA, 2024 nt
Organism: Parus major (Great Tit)
Lineage: Eukaryota; Metazoa; Chordata; Aves; Passeriformes; Paridae
Source: Ensembl
AAAAUUAUGAAAUUAUUACUAACUUCUUUUUUUCUUUUUAGCCAAAGGAAAUCAGCCUAAUUUGAAGGGUAAUAUAAAGAUAAGCCAGUCUAUGAAGUCUCAAGGUUUAAUAUGGGUGCACAAUUUCAUUUCAUACUAAUCGGUCAUCUUUGUUACGUUGGAAAGCAGACUUCUGGAAUCAGCCUCACUUGGUUGGUGCAUGACAGCUCCGCUAACCAGACCUUCACCCGGCUUAUGGAGACCCAGAACAAGAAGGAGCAGAGACUGUGCCCCAGAAGCCUCAGUGUGGCAGCACAAGGCAACAGGUAGAAGAGUGAUUCUCCUGCUUAACACCCAAGACAGCAUGUUUUGCUCUGAGUUCAAGACUACUGCUGCAACACCAGGUGUGAACUUCUAGCAAAGAGAAAACCCCAAGAACUGGAGCCACUGCUUUAGCAGUAGACUAAUUAAACUAUAUCAACUCUUGGAGAGAGUUGAUAUAAAAAUGAAAGUGAUGGUGAAAGGUUUAAAAAACAACCUGAAAAUGGACCAUGAGAGAUGGAAACCAAGGUCUGUUUAUUAAGAAAACUCAUGUAGGAUCUACAAUUAUUUCUCUAUAACAGUUCAGCAGACUGCAGAACACCAAAACAAGAGCACUUUGUUGGCAGCUUCAGAUGUAACAAAAUGUAGGAGAGAGCUUUCUACUGGAAGCUAAAAUGAACUUAUCUGUAAAAUACCUACUGGAAUGAAAGGUGGAAGAUACCAACUCACUUCUUAUAGUUUUAUGUAAUAUUGUUCCUUGUUAACAACCUUGAAGGGUCUGAACCUGCAACUGUAUGUCAAUGUAAGUCUCAAGAAUGUCAAGUUUUCCUGCUGUCUUUUACAAGCAGACAAUAUAUGGAGGUGGAGCUUCUUUAUGGAUAGGCCACUUAUUUUUACAGAAUAAGAGGAAAGCUCACAAGAUUGUGAGGAGAUUAAUUAUUUAAAAGAUUUACAAAGAUUUACAGAGAUUAAUGAGAUUAAAUUACUGUUGCUGUUCAGAUCCCCUUUUGAUUUCCUUUUGGUUUUCCUUUUUGAUUUCCUUUUGACUUUCCCAGUGCUCUCUGGUUCUAUAAAGGCCAGCCUCUGUUUGAGAGAUGUAAAACUAUAAACAAGGUCAAGUGCAGAGAAGUACAAUAUUUUUAUUUUGUUAUGCCCUAAAAUACAGAUGGAGUUAGAUUUCUGUUUCACCUCAAAUAUUUUAGCAGUGUUAAUGUAAAACACAAAGUCAUUCAGUCAUAUCCAGAGAGAUGUAAGGAAGAUCAUGAGUGAUUGCAGUAAGGAGUUAAUCCACUGUAAUUAUACCUGUAGGGUCAGAAUGACACCCAUCAAUUUAAGACUCCACAUUUACUAUUUUCAAGAAGUAAAAUUUCUUAUUAAAAAAUCCAUCCAUUCAUAAUUUAUAAGGAUCCAGUGGUCCUUACCUGUCCUCCUGAAUCACUGUUAAAUUUUACCCACUAAUAUGAUUCCUUCACAGGUGUGAUGGAAUAGCCCUGAAAUAGAGUAAAAAGGUUUUUUUGUAAAAAGUUUUCAAGAACUCAGGAUUGAGGCUUGUCAUGUCUAUCUUGUUGGAAGGUUUCUUAACCUGCCUGUAGCUUUGUGUUACUUGUUUUAGAUCUGACAACAAUUUUUUCACAUAGACCAGGUGUUUCUGGCUAUUUGGUUUACUUUUGUUUUUCUUUCUCUGUUGCAGCCACUGUUAUAUAUAGGUAGCAGUAAUAAGCAGUUGCUCUAUGCAGAAUGAGAUAUUUAUGAUUCUGGAGUGGAAUUCCCUGUUGCCCUGAGAAUCAGGCCCUCAAUAUUGUUUUUCUACAAGUUCUCACCAUUUUCCCAGGAAAGUAACUAUAAACAUAGGUGUUUAUACAUUCCAUUAAAGAUAUGCCUUUUGAUGGACAUCUCUCACUGCCAGUGUGGUUGGGAAGGUGUUAACCUGACUAUCCAAUCCCUGGUCAUAGUCAGAAACCUAUAAAUACUGAAAGAAAAAAUAAAGUUGGCUAUUUCUUUCA